This is a non-coding RNA of Bacidia gigantensis, 72 nucleotides long. The record is from the annotation of a RefSeq genome assembly. Lineage: Eukaryota; Fungi; Ascomycota; Lecanoromycetes; Lecanorales; Ramalinaceae.
GGACCCAUGGCGCAACGGCAGCGCGUUCGACUCCAGAUCGAAAGGUUAUCUGUUCAAAUCAGGUUGGGUUCA